GACGAACGCUGGCGGCGUGCUUAACACAUGCAAGUCGAACGGAAAGGCCCUUCGGGGUACUCGAGUGGCGAACGGGUGAGUAACACGUGGGUGAUCUGCCCUGCACUUUGGGAUAAGCCUGGGAAACUGGGUCUAAUACCGAAUAGGACCACGCGCUUCAUGGUGUGUGGUGGAAAGCUUUUGCGGUGUGGGAUGGGCCCGCGGCCUAUCAGCUUGUUGGUGGGGUAAUGGCCUACCAAGGCGACGACGGGUAGCCGGCCUGAGAGGGUGACCGGCCACACUGGGACUGAGAUACGGCCCAGACUCCUACGGGAGGCAGCAGUGGGGAAUAUUGCACAAUGGGCGCAAGCCUGAUGCAGCGACGCCGCGUGAGGGACGACGGCCUUCGGGUUGUAAACCUCUUUCAAUAGGGACGAAGCGCAAGUGACGGUACCUAUAGAAGAAGCACCGGCCAACUACGUG
Molecule: ribosomal RNA, 462 nt
Filed under: uncultured bacterium
Lineage: Bacteria
Description: partial 16S ribosomal RNA
Rfam family: Bacterial small subunit ribosomal RNA
Source: RNAcentral